RNAcentral lists this long non-coding RNA (206 nucleotides) under Elaeis guineensis (African oil palm). RNAcentral's name for it is "long non-coding RNA (EGUI_LNC053637)". The record is from RNAcentral. Lineage: Eukaryota; Viridiplantae; Streptophyta; Magnoliopsida; Arecales; Arecaceae.
UCUCCCUUUCCCUCUCUUUAUUAUUUAACCAGCUACCUAUCCAUCCAUCCAUCCUUCGUAAAUAAAAUCCUAACCAUUCAUCUACCCUCUUCCUUUAGUCCCACAUCUAGAAACCAUGAAAAUCUCCUCCCUCCUAACACCUAUAAAAAGGCCUCCAUACCUCCACCUUAGGAAUCAUUGAAUAAAUCUAAAGAAUCUGGGGAUCC